GCGGUCAUAGGACAUGGCUGCCAAGAGAAAAAAUUCUGUUGCUCCAAAGAGAAUAACAAAGAAUAUUUGACUGGCACAAGCAUUGUAGGGAUUCUGUGCUGCGGAGAUCAUUACGGAAGCAACAGUAGCAGGUGGCCUGGCCAUACAGGGAUUCCUUACUCGCAGCAGAGAAUGUUGCUGCCACUCAAAGUCACCAGGGGCUGAAGAGCUCCUGUGGAGACCCACAUCAUCUAACAACACACAUACUCAAAACAGGGAAAUGUGCAUUUUCGGGAGAGGAAGAGACAAACCUUUUGUUUAGCUAACUGGCAUGACAGAGUGUGACAUACAUGUGCUCCUGGAAGAACGGUGUUGGGUGUCUGCACUCAAAAUCUUGAGCAUAGGCAACUGGAUGAAGGGCUCUGUGGCAUUGAUUUUCAUUGUGUGUGUGUUAAUAUUUACAUUUAUAAUUAAAUAAAUAAUCGAAAUUAUGCUGAACUGAAAAAA
Molecule: long non-coding RNA, 486 nt
Organism: Homo sapiens (human)
Lineage: Eukaryota; Metazoa; Chordata; Mammalia; Primates; Hominidae
Exons: 2
Source: RefSeq, a predicted model, not a curated record